AAACCUUCGCAAUGCGCGCAAGCGCGACGAGGUUAUUCCGAGUGAUUUCCGCUGAGGAAAUCUUUUCUCAGAUCUAAAUAGUCUGGGGAAUAAGGGGAGGGCAAGUCUGGUGUCAGCCGCCGCGGUAAUACCAGCUCCUCGAGUGGUCAGGGCGUUUAUUGGGCCUAAAGCAUCCGUAGCCGGCUCAGUUGGUCUCCUGUUAAAUCCAACGGCUUAACCGUUGGUCUGCAGGAGAUACCGCUGGGCUAGGAGGCGGGAGAGGCGGACGGUACUCCGAGGGUAGGGGUAAAAUCCUUUGAUCCCCGGAAGACCACCAGUGGCGAAGGCGGUCCGCCAGAACGCGCUCGACGGUGAGGGAUGAAAGCUGGGGGAGCGAACCGG
Molecule: ribosomal RNA, 381 nt
Filed under: uncultured archaeon
Lineage: Archaea
Description: bacterial SSU rRNA
Rfam family: Archaeal small subunit ribosomal RNA
Source: RNAcentral